GACGAACGCUGGCGGCGUGCCUAAUGCAUGCAAGUCGAGCGAGCUACAGUCUUCGGAUUGUAGCUUAGCGGCGAACGGGUGAGUAACACGUAGGUGAUCUACCCUUCAGAGGAGGACAACCUCAGGAAACUGAGGCUAAACCUUCAUACGUUCACUGGUAGGGAUACUGGUGAAGAAAGAGUUACCGUUGAGGUGGCUGCUGAAGGAUGAGCCUGCGGCCCAUCAGGUAGUUGGUGAGGUAACGGCUCACCAAGCCGAAGACGGGUAACCGGUCUGAGAGGAUGUCCGGUCACACUGGGACUGAGACACGGCCCAGACUCCUACGGGAGGCAGCAGCAGGGAAUCUUGGGCAAUGGGCGAAAGCCUGACCCAGCGACGCCGCGUGGAGAAGAAGUCCUGGGCGUAACUCCUGGACUGGGGACGAGGAAGGACGGUACCCGACGUAGAAAGGGACGGACGUAACUACGUGCCAGCACGCCGCCGGUAAGAUCACGUGUA
Molecule: ribosomal RNA, 498 nt
Filed under: uncultured bacterium
Lineage: Bacteria
Description: bacterial SSU rRNA
Rfam family: Bacterial small subunit ribosomal RNA
Source: RNAcentral